Molecule: non-coding RNA, 135 nt
Filed under: Methylobacterium tarhaniae
Lineage: Bacteria; Pseudomonadati; Pseudomonadota; Alphaproteobacteria; Hyphomicrobiales; Methylobacteriaceae
Description: TPP sequence
Rfam family: TPP riboswitch aptamer (THI element)
About the family: Vitamin B(1) in its active form thiamin pyrophosphate (TPP) is an essential coenzyme that is synthesised by coupling of pyrimidine and thiazole moieties in bacteria. The previously detected thiamin-regulatory element, thi box was extended, resulting in a new, highly conserved RNA secondary structure, the THI element, which is widely distributed in eubacteria and also occurs in some archaea. Analysis of operon structures identified a large number of new candidate thiamin-regulated genes, mostly transporters, in various prokaryotic organisms.
Source: RNAcentral
GGCCGUUCCAGGGAGAUCCCCGGCAAGGGGCUGAGACACCGCUGGAUCGUGAGCCCCCCUGGCUCCGGUCGGCGCGGAAAUCCUUCGAACCUGAUCCGGCUCAUACCGGCGUAGGGAUUGGACAGGUCCGUCAGG